GUGUAACCAUCCACCGGUACAAUGACAAGUACCACAGGCACUGACCUUAAACAAAUGUUCAGACAGACACACACUCUCACACGAGAGCACACACUAAAGAACUCUUUGAAUGUAUCUUUACUUUCAUCCGAAUGCACAACACAAACACAAUCACACACUUUUUUUGUAACAGGCACAUUUAAUCAUUCAAUCCACAGUACCGCUGAGCUAAUUUAUUUCCUCACAGCAUCAUGUAGCAAUAGUCAUUGUGGUGCUGUGAAUCUUUCACUGUUUAUCAUAGUUAUAGCCCUUCUGUGGAAAUGCUUAGUGGUUGAUAUACUAAUGACUUGUCUGUAACAUGAGCUCAAGUCGAGUCAAGAUCAACUGGGCAGAUGUGUCUUGCAUUAGUAGUGACUCCACAGUCUUGGGAAGUAAUGAAUCAUAUAUGACAACACUAAAGAAACCUGAUUAUGAUAAUGGAUAAUUGGUGUUGCAGUGGUUAACACUGUUGCAUCACACCAAGAACAUGGGUUCAAACCUCAUGGCCAACUGGGGACCUUCUGUACAGAGUUUCUGCAUUCUCCCCAUGUCUGUAGGGGUUUCCUCCAGGUAUUCAAGCUUCCUCCCACAGUUGAAAGACAUGCAGGUUACAGUAGGUUGAUUAGUGACUCUAAAAUACCUGUAAGUGUGAAUGUGAGUGUCGCCAUGUGUCAGCCCUGUGUUAGACUGGGGAUCUGUCCAGGGUGUACCCUGCCUCUCACACCGUGUCAGCUGGGAUUGGCUCCAGGCCAGUGGGUGGGGAUUUUCUAUUCUUGAAGACAAUAGAGUGCUGUAUUAAUGAGUCCUAAAACCCAGAACUGAGUCAGCAUUUUUGCACUUCUGGUUCCCUUGCCCUAAAGUCAGUGGAUUUUUUGAAUGGGUUUUUUGGUUAGACACCUGAAUUAAGGGCUGGUUAACACAAAGUCAGUAUAUUUUCACAUUUUGUUCUGUGAAAUAAAAUAUGUCAGUAAAUACCCCACUCGUGAUUUUUAAUGCUUUUACAUGCCUUAAAAAAGGUGGUUGCUAACAAGUGGCUAAAUGAUACCACAGAAGCUGUCUGGAAUAUUAAAUGUAUAAGGUGUAGUUCAUUUAUAGCCUAACAAUAGCUUGUUACUUCUGAUGAUUGUAUAUUUGGGCUUCAGAAAUCACAAACUGUUGUUUGUCACAAAGUUUAUUUUCCACAAUAAUCCAAAAGCCUAUGGAAAAAUCCUGCUGGACUUUUGUCAAGGGAAUCAGGGCGAUACUACUGUAACUUCGGGGUUGGCCUACAAAAAACAUCUUCCCUGCAGCACUCUAUUUAUCGGCAAUAAAUUGUUUGCUUACCUACGAAAAACUGCAUAUUUUAUAGAUUUCAUACAGAAAAGGCUAACAUUCCCCAAAACAUUGAAUCUUAAUAAUUGAUCUCAUUAUGGUACUGAUUUACAAACAGGUUAUCAGUGCUACUUCCCAACACUGUGCUUUUAUUACUGUGCCUUACCCUGAAAUCUAGGUCACAGAUGAGUUAAUCUGAUCACAGAUGGUGCAGAUGAACAAAAACAAUGUCAAAAAUGGAGAAGAAUCAAUACAGAACAAAAAGUGAUCUGCCAGCAGCAGGAAAAAAAAUUAUUUAUUGUUGACAGACAGAUGCCAGGUCAAAUUUCUAACCUUGACCCUGCUGCACUCCAUGCAGGUAGUACAUUCAGUACAGGACAGCCCAACACUGACAAAGGAUAUUUUUAGCCAGCUGCUCUCCCACACUAUCAGUGGUCAUAAACACAAGUUGCUGUUGCCCGUUGACCUAGAGCAUGGGGAAGAGAAGAGAUAAAGAGAGAAUGCUGUACAAAGCUAUUGGAACAUGCACACUGUUAGUUGUUGUUAGCACACUUGUUUCCUUUUUCUCACAUCCCUCCAUUUAUCACCUAGUUCCACUUCCCAUAUGCAUUUCCCUUUUCCCUGAGCUGUGUCAUGACCUCACAUUUUCUGACCUACAUCGGUCUCUUUUUAAGCUUUUUAUUUACACCAUUAUUAUUAUUAUCAUUACAUUUAUACAGACUUUUUUCUUUUUUAAGUUAUACUUGUUUUUUAAUAAUUGAAUGUUUAUUGUAUUAUAUGUAGCUUCUGUGUGUUUCAUAUCAACUUUUAAUGGGCAUGUGGGUUGUUUUAUAGAUGCGAGAAGCCUUUGUAGAUCAAACUCAAAGACUGCUCUGAAUAAGUUGUGUGCGUGUUUGCUAUAUACUGUAUGUAUGUGACUUUUAUGGCAUGGUCUGGAUGUGUUGGAGCCAAGGAGGUUUAUCAAAGAGUUCUGGUGUAAGUAUUGGAUGACUGUUAAUUUCUGUUAGCAGAACUCUUCACACUGAUGCUGGCACUUCUCACCUGUACACUUACAUGUAAAGAUGUAACUCGGGGUAACCGUAGAUACCUCCAGGUGUGUAUGCAUGUAUGUGUGUUUACUGGUCAGAUAAGGUGGCACAUGUAACAGUGCUAUACUCUGAAUGACAAGGGUUUUGGCUGUCAUGGUGUGGCUCAUGGUCAGUAGAAGUCACCUUUUACUAUAAUUGGUUUUGAUAGACUAGUGAUAUUGCUGUGAAUAUAACUGUGUUUUUUUUUAUUUUUCUUUAUUUAACCUCUAUUUAAAUGUAUCUUUCUUGGUUGCAUAUUGUGUUUUUCUGUAAUUGAGAGCCCCACUUGUGCACUUUGACAAAAUCCUUUGAAAUGUGGAAUUAUAUGACAGUGAUUUCUUUUUCAUUUACUGUAUCAGUAAAUG
Long non-coding RNA from Monopterus albus (swamp eel), 2761 nucleotides. RefSeq lists it as uncharacterized. NCBI's taxonomy places the organism in Eukaryota, Metazoa, Chordata, Actinopteri, Synbranchiformes, Synbranchidae. The record is from RefSeq and is a predicted model, not a curated record. The transcript has 2 exons.